RNAcentral lists this unclassified non-coding RNA (264 nucleotides) under plant metagenome. RNAcentral's name for it is "partial contains small subunit ribosomal RNA, internal transcribed spacer 1, and 5.8S ribosomal RNA". The stretch from base 1 to 54 matches the Rfam family "Eukaryotic small subunit ribosomal RNA", at positions 1778 to 1831 of the family's 1831-position model. The record is from RNAcentral.
GGUAGUAAAAGUCGUAACAAGGUCUCCGUUGGUGAACCAGCGGAGGGAUCAUUACAGAGUUUUCACAACUCCCAACCCUUGCGAACCGUACCCAUUCUGUUCUCGUUGCUUCCGGCGGGGGGGACGGGGGGGCCCGAAACGGCCUCCCCGCCCCGCCCGCCGGGGGCGGCGGGCCCUACGAACCUUUAUAUCUCAACCACCAGAAGCCGUCUGAGAAAACAAACAAAAUAAUCAAAACUUUCAACAACGGAUCUCUUGGCUCUG